UACGGAGGGCGCUAGCGUUGUUCGGAAAUACUGGGCGUAAAGCGCACGUAGGCGGCGCAGCAAGUCAGGGGUGAAAUCCCGGGGCUCAACCCCGGAACUGCCCUUGAAACUGCAGUGCUAGAAUCUUGGAGAGGCGAGUGGAAUUCCGAGUGUAGAGGUGAAAUUCGUAGAUAUUCGGAAGAACACCAGUGGCGAAGGCGACUCGCUGGACAAGUAUUGACGCUGAGGUGCGAAAGCGUGGGGAGCAAACAGG
RNAcentral lists this ribosomal RNA (253 nucleotides) under uncultured bacterium. RNAcentral's name for it is "partial 16S ribosomal RNA". It matches the Rfam family "Bacterial small subunit ribosomal RNA", at positions 524 to 776 of the family's 1533-position model. The record is from RNAcentral.